UAGUAACGGCGAGUGAAGCGGGAUGAGCUCAAGCUUAAAAUCUCUGUGCCAGUUUGGCAUGGCGAAUUGUAGUCUAUGGAGGCGCUGUCAGUGCGACUAUACGGGGUAAGUUCCUUGGAAGAGGACAGCAUCGAGGGUGAUACUCCCGUAUGUACCUGUGUAGUUGCGCGUACGACACGUUUUCUUUGAGUCGCGUUGUUUGGGAAUGCAGCGCAAAGUAGGUGGUAAAUUCCAUCUAAAGCUAAAUAUUGGUGCGAGACCGAUAGCGAACAAGUACCGUGAGGGAAAGAUGAAAAGAACUUUGAAAAGAGAGUUAAAGAGUACCUGAAACUGCUGAAAGGGAACCGAAUCGUUUCCAGUGUCUAUAAUCUAUGGCAUAUUUCAUUGGCGUGUGGAUGUGUGUAGCGUUUUGGAAGUAGGUUUCUGCUCCUGGCGUUGCUUUGCGUUCGCUUGCUGGUGCCCUGUGCUGUAGUGGGACGUCAGAGUCAGUUCGUAUGCUGCGGGAAAUGGUUAUUGGGGAGGUAGGUCGCUUCGGUGGCUGUUAUAUCCUGGUAACUAGUCGUCGUGGUUGGGACUGAGGUGCCUACAACGUGCUUUCGAGUCUGCGGGCCUCUCGUUUGGCUGUUUGCUUUGAUAGCUUGCUAUGUUUGCGAACGUGUCAGGCGAUUGAGACCUGUAGUAACUUGUUGCCGUUCGGGACUUUGAC
RNAcentral lists this ribosomal RNA (706 nucleotides) under Pythium sp. OPU809. Its description in RNAcentral is "eukaryotic LSU rRNA". It matches the Rfam family "Eukaryotic large subunit ribosomal RNA", at positions 81 to 632 of the family's 3401-position model. The record is from RNAcentral. Lineage: Eukaryota; Oomycota; Peronosporomycetes; Pythiales; Pythiaceae.